This 449-nucleotide ribosomal RNA is filed under the name uncultured bacterium. RNAcentral's name for it is "bacterial SSU rRNA". It matches the Rfam family "Bacterial small subunit ribosomal RNA", at positions 355 to 796 of the family's 1533-position model. The record is from RNAcentral.
UCGAGGAUCUUUCGCAAUGGGCGCAAGCCUGACGAAGCGACGCCGUGUGAGUGAUGAAGGCCUUCGGGUUGUAAAGCUCUUUCGCCUAGGAACAAGAGAAUUUAGUGAAUAACUAGAUGAUUUGAGGGUACUAGGUAAAGAAGCACCGGCUAACUCCGUGCCAGCAGCUGCGGUAAUACGGAGGGUGCAAGCAUUAAUCGGAUUUAUUGGGCGUAAAGGGCGCGUAGGCGGACUUACAAGUCAGAUGUGAAAUUCCGAAGCUCAACUUCGGAGCUGCAUUUGAAACUGUAAGUCUAGAGGAAAGGCGGAGAAAAUGGAAUUCCACAUGUAGCGGUGAAAUGCGUAGAUAUGUGGAAGAACACCGGUGGCGAAAGCGGUUUUCUAGCUUUUAACUGACGCUGAGGCGCGAGAGCAAGGGGAGCAAACAGGAUUAGAUACCCCCGUAGUCC